Molecule: ribosomal RNA, 919 nt
Filed under: uncultured bacterium
Lineage: Bacteria
Description: bacterial SSU rRNA
Rfam family: Bacterial small subunit ribosomal RNA
Source: RNAcentral
ACGCUGGCGGCGUGCUUAACACAUGCAAGUCGAACGAAGAGCGAUGGAAGCUUGCUUCUAUUAAUCUUAGUGGCGAACGGGUGAGUAACGCGUAAUCAACCUGCCCUUCAGAGGGGGACAACAGUUGGAAACGACUGCUAAUACCGCAUACGAUCCAAUCUCGGCAUCGAGACUGGAUGAAAGGUGGCCUCUAUUUAUAAGCUAUCACUGAAGGAGGGGAUUGCGUCUGAUUAGCUAGUUGGAGGGGUAACGGCCCACCAAGGCGGUGAUCAGUAGCCGGUCUGAGAGGAUGAACGGCCACAUUGGGACUGAGACACGGCCCAGACUCCUACGGGAGGCAGCAGUGGGGAAUCUUCCGCAAUGGACGAAAGUCUGACGGAGCAACGCCGCGUGAGUGAUGACGGCCUUCGGGUUGUAAAGCUCUGUUAAUCGGGACGAAUGGUUCUUGUGCAAAUAGUGCGAGGAUUUGACGGUACCGGAAUAGAAAGCCACGGCUAACUACGUGCCAGCAGCCGCGGUAAUACGUAGGUGGCAAGCGUUGUCCGGAAUUAUUGGGCGUAAAGCGCGCGCAGGCGGAUUGGUCAGUCUGUCUUAAAAGUUCGGGGCUUAACCCCGUGAUGGGAUGGAAACUGCCAAUCUAGAGUAUAGGAGAGGAAAGUGGAAUUCCUAGUGUAGCGGUGAAAUGCGUAGAUAUUAGGAAGAACACCAGUGGCGAAGGCGACUUUCUGGACGAAAACUGACGCUGAGGCGCGAAAGCCAGGGGAGCGAACGGGAUUAGAUACCCCGGUAGUCUUGGCCGUAAACGAUGGGUACUAGGUGUAGGAGGUAUCGACCCCUUCUGUGCCGGAGUUAACGCAAUAAGUACCCCGCCUGGGGAGUACGACCGCAAGGUUGAAACUCAAAGGAAUUGACGGGGGCC